AUGCAUGAAAAAACUCUGUGCAAGUGCAAAACAUCCUGAUCGAGUGUCAAGGGAUCGCAGUAAAUAGUUCCAACCAGGGUCAAUGGCACGCCACAAAAAAUCCUGAUCAACAAGAGGAUUGUCAAAGAUGUGGAGAAGCUGAGCUAUCACUACCAAACAUCAUCCCUGGAGGCCUUCCACAGCUUGAUCCUGCGCUUUGCACCCAUGAAUGGUGGUAGUUUUCCCUUUUAUGGGAAUGCUGUGCAGUUGUACCCUGCAGUCAUGUACUACAAUGAAAAUGCGGAUCACAAGCAAGCCACGACAUCUGCAGGACAACUGGUAUUCAAGGUUGUGUUCCCCAAGUCCAAGAAGGAAUAUGUGGAAGAACUGAUGAAGCUUGUCUUCGAGGAGGUGUUUGCGGACCCAAUACCAUUUGUUGAGGUGUUGAAGAUGAUCCUCAUCACCAAGGACCUGGCAUCCCCAAGGACCUGGCAUCCCAGUACGAGAGACCCUCAAAGGAGGAAGUGGUUGCCUGCCAUGUGUUCCACUUUAGUCAAGGGGCAGUCGGAACCCUACAUACUGUCCAUCCAGAUCAGGAAACUCUAGAUGCAGCUCCAGCGAACCCACCAUCAGUCCUCCCUAGUCCUAUCCAACUCUCAGUUGAAG
Siniperca chuatsi (mandarin fish) is the source of this 645-nucleotide long non-coding RNA. RefSeq lists it as uncharacterized. The record is from RefSeq and is a predicted model, not a curated record. NCBI's taxonomy places the organism in Eukaryota, Metazoa, Chordata, Actinopteri, Centrarchiformes, Sinipercidae. The transcript has 5 exons.